GAAGCUAAGUACAAAUAGAUAAUCUAAAAGGUAAUAUACAAGAAAAAUGACGUUUGAAAUAAGAGUUGAAAUAUAGCAUUUAGUAAAUUAACGUAAUUACAAACAUAGUUUACAUGCCUUCGCUCAAAAUAGUCCGACCUCAUACAAAAAAUUAUGUAAUAACUACUACUUCCACAAUUAUGAUAGAUUCCAUAAUUCCUAUCGCCCAUUCAAUGACACAAGAAAAUGACAGAGUAUCAACUCAAAUAGAAAACAUUGUUGUUCGAACGAUAAUAACACAAAGCAAAUCAUUUGCCAAACAUUUUAUAUCAUAAUGUCAAUACAUUUAGUCUGUGGAAAAAUAUUAUUAUACCAAUAAAAAAUUCAUACUAAAGACCUGUACAUAGCAAGUAUAUCAAAAUGAAAUAAAUCAAUGUUUUGAGCUUCGGAAGUUUAGAUGCCAAGGCCCAUUGACUUCAGUAUGUUCAAUAGAGUAAUGUUCUGAAUGCAAUUUGUUGGCAACCAAUACUAUGCAUCAAUAAGAAAUUUAUAAGAAUUCCAACCAAGAUUUCUAAUGAUCCUAUUGGUACACUAGCAAAUUUUAACAGAGAGGCAGGUUCCAAACUUAAGCCAACGUCAUCAAAUACCAAUUUGAACCAAAUACAAUGUUUCACCAAAUAUCCCAUAUCAAUGCUAGCAAAUCUUACUUCAUUAAAGACCAAACUCCAGUAAUUCGAUUCACCUCAACAGGGCAAAAAAAAUAAAUAAAUAAAUAAAAUUUGAGACGUGGAAGAUAAUGAAAAAACUAAACAUGAUAAUGAAAUUUCUAAUUGGGCAUGACAGCUAUUACAUAGAUAAAUGAUAAUGAAGCAAAAAUCCAAACUCGUGUGCAAAGAAAUUUGACUACUACCAAUUCAAAUGUGGUCUUCAACGUCUAAUAUAUCAAAGAUAAAAAUAGCAUAGCUCCAGUAAAAUCUUCUAUUCAAAAAAUAAUAAUAAUAAAGAAAAAAUCACAGGUAUAUGCAUUUAUACGCUUACCAGAUGGGACUAAGAUUAGGUGGAACAAGAUUUGUGGACUUCGUAAAGAUGAGCACUGACUGCGCUUGAGCUCGCUUGCGGCCAGAGAACUUCAAGCAUGUGCUAGCCAGAGCUUGCUUUCUCCCUUCUGAGACUCGAAAUGGGUGGAGAUGUAAAUUAGAAAAUUUGGGAAAAAUGGGUGGAGAUGGAGAUUUCAAGUGAGCCAGAGGAAAUUUUCUCCCUUUCAUGAGUGUGCUUUGGGAAAAGUGGGUGGAGAGAGAAAGCAGCAUUUAUUUUAUUAAUUUCCCUCCUUAAUUUGCUAGUGUUAAUUUUCCUCUAUUUGCACCUGGU
RNAcentral lists this long non-coding RNA (1347 nucleotides) under Olea europaea subsp. europaea. Lineage: Eukaryota; Viridiplantae; Streptophyta; Magnoliopsida; Lamiales; Oleaceae. The record is from RNAcentral.